This 270-nucleotide ribosomal RNA is filed under the name uncultured archaeon. Its description in RNAcentral is "partial 16S ribosomal RNA". It matches the Rfam family "Archaeal small subunit ribosomal RNA", at positions 477 to 747 of the family's 1478-position model. The record is from RNAcentral.
CAGCACCUCAAGUGGUCAGGAUGAUUAUUGGGCCUAAAGCAUCCGUAGCCGGCUCUGUAAGUUUUCGGUUAAAUCUGUACGCUCAACGUACAGGCUGCCGGGAAUACUGCAGAGCUAGGGAGUGGGAGAGGUAGACGGUACUCGGUAGGAAGGGGUAAAAUCCUUUGAUCUAUUGAUGACCACCUGUGGCGAAGGCGGUCUACCAGAACACGUCCGACGAUGAGGGAUGAAAGCUGGGGGAGCAAACCGGAUUAGAUACCCGAGUAGUCC